CCACGGGUGGCUGCAGUGAGGAAUAUUGCACAAUGGGGGGAACCCUGAUGCAGCAACGCCGCGUGGAGGAUGACGCAUUUCGGUGUGUAAACUCCUUUUAUAUGUCAAGAAAAUGACGGUAGCAUAUGAAUAAGCACCGGCUAACUCCGUGCCAGCAGCCGCGGGAAUACGGAGGGUGCAAGCGUUACUCGGAAUCACUGGGCGUAAAGGACGCGUAGGCGGGUUGGAAAGUCAGGUGUGAAAUCCUACAGCUUAACUGUAGAACUGCACUUGAAACUUCUAAGCUAGAGUAUGGGAGGGGGAGAUGGAAUUAGUGGUGUAGGGGUAAAAUCCGUAGAUAUCACUAGGAAUACCUAAAGCGAAGGCGAUCUCCUGGAACAUUACUGACGCUAAGGCGUGAAAGCGUGGGGAGCAAACAGGAUUAGAUACCCCCGUAGUC
RNAcentral lists this ribosomal RNA (439 nucleotides) under uncultured bacterium. Its description in RNAcentral is "partial 16S ribosomal RNA". It matches the Rfam family "Bacterial small subunit ribosomal RNA", at positions 339 to 795 of the family's 1533-position model. The record is from RNAcentral.